UUGGUUCAUCGACGUUUCGUCCAAUCCUUCGGCACAUCAUCUUCUUUUGUGGUCUUUUGCCCAAUCGGUAUAUUGACAUCCUCAACUCCGAUCUCCUUGGUGCAAUGUCCGCUCUUCUAAGCCUGAUGUCCGAACCCAUGGCACGAAGCCUUCUGCUGACACAACGACCGAUCCUCUAGCUCGAUAUAUAAUCUUCUGACAUAUUCCACUCUAGCCCAAUAUUGAUUCUAUUGCUUUAAUCGAUUUAUCUUCCCUGAUCGAAGCUAG
RNAcentral lists this long non-coding RNA (267 nucleotides) under Musa acuminata (dwarf banana). RNAcentral describes it as "long non-coding RNA (MACU_LNC011640)". Lineage: Eukaryota; Viridiplantae; Streptophyta; Magnoliopsida; Zingiberales; Musaceae. The record is from RNAcentral.